Molecule: long non-coding RNA, 1497 nt
Organism: Lycium ferocissimum
Lineage: Eukaryota; Viridiplantae; Streptophyta; Magnoliopsida; Solanales; Solanaceae
Exons: 2
Source: RefSeq, a predicted model, not a curated record
GCUCUCGGCGCACGUUAGUCAAAUGUACGCCGCUGGUGGCUGCCAUGGCGAGAGGACGAGGAAAAGGCCCAGGUCGGCCUCGUAAAAGAACCUAUCAUCGCGUUUGGGAGCUCGGUGGGAGCUCAAGUGCAAGUGGAAACUACGAAGAAGGGUAAACAGCCUGCUCAGAAGGUGAACAACGAUGGGCAAAAAGUAGAUCCGGCAAACUCCUUUUCGGGACAGAGUGGGGUCACGAAGAGGCUAAACCUUACCCCCUCACCAUCUUGUACUACCAAUUUGACUAUUCAAACACCUGGGUGUACAAACCCUUACCUUGCUAACAUGGCGACUAACUCAGAUCCGACUGAAUCAAAAAUGCAAUAAGAAGAGAUAACACAGGAGGGUCAAGUUGAUACUCAGACGCAGUAGCUCCUUGGAAUACUCUUUUUGCAAAGAAUCGAGCAGCAGCAAAUGGCUGCAGAAGGUCAUUGCCACAAUCAUCAAUGAAGCCCAAUCUGGUUUUAUUCCCGGAAGAAAGAUAGCUGAUAAUAUUAUUCUAGCCAACGAACUGGUCAGAGCUUAUUCUAGGAAGCAUAUCUCGUACAAGAUGCAUGGUAAAAAUUGAUUUACAAAAGACAUAUGACUCGGUAGAAUGGGGAUACUUGAAACAAGUGCUAGAAGCUUUAUGUUUCCCUAUCAAAUUUGUUCAAUGGAUCAUGGAAUGCAUCUACACUGUUAACUACUCUAUCAUGAUAAAUGGUGAACCCUCUAAACCAUGGGAUGCUGCUAGAGGAUUGAGACAGGGGGACCCUAUAUCCCCCUAUCUAUUUGCAAUUUCCAUGGAGUACUUGAGUCGGUGCUUGGGGGAAUUAAAGGAUUACAAGAAAUUCAAAUUUCAUCCUAAAUGUGCAAGAAAUGGAGUUACACACCUAUCUUUCACUGAUGAUCUUUUGUUGUUUACAAGGGUGGAUCUAGACUCUAUUUCUGCUAUUUUUGACAAAUUCCAAAACUUCUCACAAGCAUCAGGAUUACAGGCAAACAGAGGCAAAAGUAGUAUGUACUUUGGAGGGGUAACGGAUGCAGUGAAGAAUACAAUUACACAGCAACUUGGAUUUGGUAUUGGUGAGUUACCUUUUAAAUAUCUCGGUAUCCCCCUUUCCACAAAAAAUUAACUACACUCUAGUGGUCCCUACUCAUUGAUAAGAUGGUAGCUAGAAUCUCCUCAUGGAUAGCGAAGAAACUUUCUUAUGCUGGGCGAGUUCAAAUAGUCCAAUAAGUACCGUUUGGUAUCCAAUCUUACUGGUCUCAGCUGUUUGUGAUUCCUUCAAAGUUCCUUAAAGUCAUUGAUGCUUUUUGUCGGAGUUACAUAUGGUUAGGCACUAACACUAUCACAAAGAGGGCUCUAAUAUCUUGGGACAGGAUGUGCUUACCUAUCUCUGCUGGAGGCCUUAACCUCAUCACUAUGCAGAUUUGGAAUAAGGCAGAAAUUGUAAAAACCUGUUGGGACUUGGCUCAAAA